UUGCAAGAUGGUCUGACAAUAAGUUCUACAAAGCUACAGUAGACUUCACUGGAACAGCUGACAAAACGGUGGAUACCAAGAAGGCGACAAAGAAGGACAUGAACAAAAGAGAUGCAGCUGCACAAAGAUUCUACAACCUUCCAUUCCUACCUCAAGCAGGCCAGUCCACCUCUGCACAGGAUCACCUAAAUACUGUGGACCAAAAUGUCAUUCAGCCUCCACCUACAGGGUCAUUUCUACCUGUCCAGCCACAGCACCAGCAUGCAACUGCCUGGCCACAGUACCAACUUCCAGUUUCCCAAUCAUCACCAAAUACGCCACAACAUUACCAGCAUUCAACAUUCCAGUCGCUCAACCAGUAUCGAACUACUCUGUCUGCAAUUCCACACAAUUCCAGCCUUUCGCAGUAUUCCAAGCAUCACCAGCCUCACACAGCACUACCCACACCUUCAGACCAAACACAACAGCAGCCUGUUUUGGCAGAUUUGGAUCAGCGAAGACAGCCACCAGCUCCUACAGCCAAAGAAAGCUUCCUCAAAAUGUUGUACAGUCCUAAUACACAUCAAAAACCUGCUGUUCUUGGGGACCAGAGCCAGACAAGCACCUCUGAACAUGAGACUUCAAGCUCAUCUGCAGAUGCUUUAAUCAUCGAGCGUGAUCCAAUUCCAGAAAGAGAACCAUGUUUCAUUUCGCCUGAGUCAGCAGAAGACAGAUCAUGGAAGCCAUGCGAAGCAUGCAAGACAGAGGUGGAAAAAUUAGUGGAGGAAAAGGCCAAACUGCAUGAUGUGCUGUGUGGUGUAAGUGGUGAGCACCUGGAGGCAUUCAGAAGUUUUCUGGACAAAGUGGAACAGAUCCAACCUCAGGCUGGUGUUUGGGCUCCAAAAGGCAGAUCUCGGCAGCGGGAGCUAUAUCCAGGAAGUGGCCUCUUCUUGUCCUCUACUCACCUGGCUGCAAUCCAUGCAACCGCAAAGAAGGACUGCCUUCGCUUGUUCCAUCUUCUUUUUGAUGAAUUCUUUACUGCAGAGGAGUGCCAGAAUGCUGUGGCAUUUGGGAAACACGGAAAGGUGCCAGAUGGGAAGAGAGUCCUGGAUAAGUUCAAAGUCAAUGCAAUUCUAACUUAUGUCAUGCGCUGUAGUACACUGGAUGGUUGGACACCGGUUGAAAAAAGUAAGGUCAAGAAAGCCUUCAUAAACUGA
Molecule: long non-coding RNA, 1196 nt
Filed under: Carassius auratus (goldfish)
Lineage: Eukaryota; Metazoa; Chordata; Actinopteri; Cypriniformes; Cyprinidae
Description: lncRNA (ENSCARG00000028535.1)
Source: RNAcentral